RNAcentral lists this ribosomal RNA (226 nucleotides) under uncultured bacterium. RNAcentral describes it as "partial 16S ribosomal RNA". It matches the Rfam family "Bacterial small subunit ribosomal RNA", at positions 538 to 762 of the family's 1533-position model. The record is from RNAcentral.
GCGUUGUCCGGAUUUAUUGGGCGUAAAGAGCUCGUAGGCGGCUCAGUAAGUCAGGUGUGAAAACUCCAGGCUCAACCUGGAGACGCCACCUGAUACUGCUGUGGCUAGAGUCCGGUAGGGGAGCAUGGAAUUCCUGGUGUAGCGGUGAAAUGCGCAGAUAUCAGGAGGAACACCAGUGGCGAAGGCGGUGCUCUGGGCCGGAACUGACGCUGAGGAGCGAAAGCGU